Molecule: small nuclear RNA, 189 nt
Organism: Pseudophryne corroboree (corroboree frog)
Lineage: Eukaryota; Metazoa; Chordata; Amphibia; Anura; Myobatrachidae
Product: U2 spliceosomal RNA
Exons: 1
Source: RefSeq, a predicted model, not a curated record
AUCGCUUCUCGGCCUUUUGGCUGAGAUAAUGUGUAGUAUCUGUUCUUAUCAGUUUAAUAUCUGAUACACCCCCUAUCUGGGGGCAAUAUCUUAAAUGGAUUUUUAGAACACAGAGAUGGAAAGGGCUUUCUCUGUCCACUCCACACAUUGAACUGGUAUUGCAGUACCUCCGGGACCGGUGCAAAUAGU